Molecule: ribosomal RNA, 498 nt
Filed under: uncultured bacterium
Lineage: Bacteria
Description: bacterial SSU rRNA
Rfam family: Bacterial small subunit ribosomal RNA
Source: RNAcentral
ACUCAAAUGAAUUGACGGGGACCCGCACAAGCGGUGGAGCAUGUGGUUUAAUUCGAGGCAACGCGAAGAACCUUACCAAGGCUUGACAUGGAAACGCAAGGCGUAGAGAUACGCUCCCCCUUCGGGGCGUUUCACACAGGUGGUGCAUGGUUGUCGUCAGCUCGUGUCGUGAGAUGUUGGGUUAAGUCCCGCAACGAGCGCAACCCUUGCGUCCAGUUGCCAGCGCGUGAAGGCGGGCACACUGGAGGGACUGCCGUGGACAACACGGAGGAAGGUGGGGAUGAUGUCAAAUCAUCAUGCCCCUUAUGUCUUGGGCUACACACGUGCUACAAUGGGCGUUACAGCGUGAAGCGAGGCAGCGAUGCGGAGCGAAACACGAAAAGCGUCCUCAGUUCGGAUUGCAGGCUGCAACCCGCCUGCAUGAAGUUGGAAUCGCUAGUAAUCGCGAAUCAGCAUGUCGCGGUGAAUACGUUCCCGGGUCUUGUACACACCGCCCGU